RNAcentral lists this ribosomal RNA (532 nucleotides) under uncultured Lactobacillales bacterium. Its description in RNAcentral is "bacterial SSU rRNA". It matches the Rfam family "Bacterial small subunit ribosomal RNA", at positions 29 to 507 of the family's 1533-position model. Lineage: Bacteria; Bacillati; Bacillota; Bacilli; Lactobacillales. The record is from RNAcentral.
AGUGAACGCUGGCGGCGUGCCAAUACAUGCAAGUCGAACGAAACUUACUUUAUCACCGAGUGCUUGCACUCACCGAUAAAGAAGGUUGAGGUGGCGGAAACGGGGUAGGAGGUAAACAACCGUGGGGCGAACCCUAGCCCGAAAAGAAGGGGGAGUAACACUUGGAAACAGGUGCUAAUACCGCAUAACCAUAGUUACCGCAUGGUAACUAUGUAAAAGGUGGCUAUGCUACCGCUUUUGGAUGGGCCCGCGGCGCAUUAGCUAGUUGGUGGGGGUAAAGGCUUACCAAGGCAAUGAUGCGUAGCCGAACUGAGAGGUUGAUCGGCCACAUUGGGACUGAGACACGGCCCAAACUCCCACGGGAGGCAGCAGUAGGGAAUCUUCCACAAUGGGCGAAAGCCUGAUGGAGCAACGCCGCGUGGGUGAAGAAGGUCUUCGGAUCGUAAAACCCUGUUGUUAGAGAAGAAAGUGCGUGAGAGUAACUGUUCACGUUUCGACGGUAUCUAACCAGAAAGCCACGGCUAACUACGUG